AUAUUGGACAAUGGGCGAAAGCCUGAUCCAGCCAUGCCGCGUGUGUGAAGUAGGUCAUCGGAUUGUAAAGCAAUUUAAGUUGGGAGGAAGGGCACUAAGUUAAUACCUUGCGGUUUUGACGUUACCGACAGAAUAAGCACCGGCUAACUUCGCUCCAUUAGCCGCGGUAAGCAGAAGGGUGCAAGCGUUAAUCGGACUUACUGGGCAUGAAGUGCGCUUAGGUGGUUCACUAAGAUGGGUGUGAAAACCCCGGGCUUAACCCGGGAACUGGUUUCAUAACUGGUGAGCUAGAGUACGGUAGAGGGUGGUGGAAUUUCCUGGGUAGCGGUGAAAUGCGUAGCGAAAGGAAAGAACACCAGUGGAGAAGGUGGCGACCUGGACUGAUUCUGAAACUGAGGUGCGAAAGGGUGGGGAGCAAAC
This 420-nucleotide ribosomal RNA is filed under the name uncultured bacterium. RNAcentral describes it as "partial 16S ribosomal RNA". It matches the Rfam family "Bacterial small subunit ribosomal RNA", at positions 361 to 773 of the family's 1533-position model. The record is from RNAcentral.